Molecule: ribosomal RNA, 647 nt
Filed under: uncultured Bacteroidales bacterium
Lineage: Bacteria; Pseudomonadati; Bacteroidota; Bacteroidia; Bacteroidales
Description: bacterial SSU rRNA
Rfam family: Bacterial small subunit ribosomal RNA
Source: RNAcentral
UGCUAAGGCUGAUGGCGACCGGCGCACGGGUGAGUAACACGUAUCCAACCUGCCGUCUACUCUUGGCCAGCCUUCUGAAAGGAAGAUUAAUCCAGGAUGGCAUCAUGAGUUCACAUGUCCGCAUGAUUAAAGGUAUUUUCCGGUAGACGAUGGGGAUGCGUUCCAUUAGAUAGUAGGCGGGGUAACGGCCCACCUAGUCAACGAUGGAUAGGGGUUCUGAGAGGAAGGUCCCCCACAUUGGAUCUGAGACACGGUCCAAACUCCUACGGGAGGCAGCAGUGAGGAAUAUUGGUCAAUGGGCGAUGGCCUGAACCAGCCAAGUAGCGUGAAGGAUGACUGCCCUAUGGGUUGUAAACUUCUUUUAUAAAGGAAUAAAGUCGGGUAUGCAUACCCGUUUGCAUGUACUUUAUGAAUAAGGAUCGGCUAACUCCGUGCCAGCAGCCGCGGUAAUACGGAGGAUCCGAGCGUUAUCCGGAUUUAUUGGGUUUAAAGGGAGCGUAGAUGGAUGUUUAAGUCAGUUGUGAAAGUUUGCGGCUCAACCGUAAAAUUGCAGUUGAUACUGGAUGUCUUGAGUGCAGUUGAGGCAGGCGGAAUUCGUGGUGUAGCGGCGAAAUGCUUAGAUAUCACGAAGAACUCCGAUUGCGAAG